Molecule: long non-coding RNA, 1170 nt
Filed under: Phascolarctos cinereus (koala)
Lineage: Eukaryota; Metazoa; Chordata; Mammalia; Diprotodontia; Phascolarctidae
Description: lncRNA (ENSPCIG00000031877.1)
Source: RNAcentral
UGCAGUAACUUUAAAGGGAAACUUUCACAACGUCCGAAGCCCUAGGUGUCUUGCAGAUGAAAGAGGAUGUCCUUAAAUUCCUUGCUGCAGGAACCCAUUUGGGUGGCACUAAUUUGGACUUCCAGAUGAAACAGUAUAUCUACAAAAGAAAGAGUGAUGGCAUCUGCAUCAUCAAUUCGAAGAGAACUUGGGAAAAGCUUCUGCUGGCAAUUCGUGCCAUUGUCACCGCUGAAAUCCAGCUGAUGUUAGUGUCAUCUCAUCCAGGAACACUGGCCAGCGAGCUGUUCUAAAAUUUGCUGCUGCCACUGGCGCCACACCUAUCGCUGAACGUUUCACACCGAGCACCUUCACUAACCAGAUCCAGGCAGCUUUCAGGGAGCCUCGCCUCUUGGGGGUCACUGAUCCUUGGGCAGAUCACCAGCCUCUUACUGAAGCAUCUUAUGUUAACCUUCCAACCAUUGCAUUGUGCAACACAGACUCCCCACUUCACUCUGUGGACAUUGCCAUUCCAUGUAACAAUAAGGGAGCUCAGUGGGUCUGAUGUGGUGGAUACUGGUUCAUGAAGUCCUACGUAUGAGUGAUACCAUCUCCCGUAAACACACUUGGGAGGUUAUACCUGAUCUUUACUUCUACAGGGAUCCAGAAGAAAUUGAAAAGGAGGAGCAGGCCUCAGCUGAGAAGGCAGUGACAAAGGAGGAGUUUCAGGGUGAAUGGACUACACCUGCCCCAGAAUUCACUGCUACUCAACCGGGAGGUGGCUGAUUGAUCUGAGGGAGUACAGGUGCCAUCUGUGCCCAUUCAGCAGUUCCCUGCCAAAGAUUGGAGUGCUCAGCUGGCUAUGGAGGACUGGUCUGUGGCUCCUACUGCCCAAGCCGCCAAGUGGAUCUGCUUAUGAAGGUAUAAGAAGAGACCAGGCAGUUUUUCGCAGACAUAUAUCAGAAGUUCACUAAGGUCCUAUCUCCUUAUUAACAUCGGUAAAGAAAAGCAAUAUCGCCUGCCUCUUCCAGAACAUCAUUUCCCUAAAGCCCCAGCUAUACUUCAUUUCAUUCCCUCCUCUUCUCCACAACCCCAGACAGGUACCAUUUCCUUCAACCUCUUGCUCGAAUCCUAGAACCAAGAACCAAGCUCACAUCAACUCUUGCCAUUUUUCCUGGAUGGGAUGUAUCAUUC